Molecule: long non-coding RNA, 384 nt
Organism: Choloepus didactylus (southern two-toed sloth)
Lineage: Eukaryota; Metazoa; Chordata; Mammalia; Pilosa; Megalonychidae
Exons: 3
Source: RefSeq, a predicted model, not a curated record
AUUCUGACAGCUAUAUAGAAACACCAAGAACCACUCCAUUUCCCCAGCACUGCAGGUGCCAGUCAGUUGACAUACGUAGCGGGUUCUGGAAAGAAAAGCUGUCCCCAAAGCACGUCACACAAAGCAUGUAUAUACUGUACACUUCAUUACUGGACAGAUCCAAAGAUGAUGCCCUGACACCAUGAUGAAAUUACUUAGUAUUCAAGAAGUUCCUGAUUAAGCCCUGAUUAACAGACUGACCAUACAUUCAGGUACAUCCUUCUCUAAGGAGUCUCUAUCCGCUUCAUCAUGAUAUAUCACUGGGUUCCAUGAAGCACAAUCUGAAAACCACUGGACUAGAUGACUUCUCUAGGCCUUAAAAUUUAAACAGUCUGUGAUAAAUGA